Molecule: non-coding RNA, 456 nt
Organism: Pantherophis guttatus
Lineage: Eukaryota; Metazoa; Chordata; Lepidosauria; Squamata; Colubridae
Source: RefSeq, a predicted model, not a curated record
AGCCAAGAUUGCAUGUGGAUGUGAUGGUAAUGAUACAUUCAUAGAAGACUGCACUCAAAUACAAGGCUUAUUUGUUUCUCAAUCAGCAUGCUGUGUGAAGUCAGUCUACUGGCUUUCUACUUCAGCUUCCUUUGAAGCUUAUGAACCCGCUGCCUGAAACGGAAUGGUCCAGGCCGAGCGAAGAUCACCAGGAAACAUAGCUUAAACAGAAAUUCAUCUUGCAUCAGUCUUCAUCAGUCAACAUGUUUGUUUUGCAUCCGUAUUUCUAAAUCCUCAGUCUUGCCUUCUCUAUCGCUGCUCUUUAACAUUUCCAUUAUCAGCAAUGUGAUAAAUAUCUUGGAGGUUUGUCCAAACAGUCCAGGAUUGUGUUUGAUGGAAAAUCUGACAUGACCUUCCAAGCUUAACAUCUAUUCAUCAGUAGUGAGUAUAUAGAAACUGUAGUUUGAUUCUCCUCCU